AGAAACCUUCCGAGGCCCGCCCGCUCGCCCGCCCAACUCUCCCGAGGUCCCCCCACAAGUGGCUUUCGUGGGGCCGGUCACGUGGCCCCCGCGCGUCCUGCUGCCAUUUCUAUUUAUUAUCCUAAUAUUUAGGAAGACAGGCCAAGCGGGCGCUGAAGGAAACUCCCGACGACGUAACGACUGCACGCCUUCGGAGCGCUCACGGCAGGCCGGGGCGCGGCGGCACACCGCGGGGAGGGGCGGCUCGCCACUGCUAUCCCUGGGACGGACGGGGAAACUGAGCACUUGCAAGAACUUCUGAAUUGCAUGUUCACUUACAUAAGGACAAAGGAAACCCUCACGUAAAUGCACUUGGGAAUUCAGGAUUGCUUGGCUUGUGCCCCAUAUUACAUAAGUCAUGGAGCAGCAUCCACACGGAUCUCACUCCAGCCUAGGCUCACCUGGAAGUCACUCUUCUCCCAAGCUGGCCUCAAACU
Molecule: long non-coding RNA, 476 nt
Organism: Jaculus jaculus (lesser Egyptian jerboa)
Lineage: Eukaryota; Metazoa; Chordata; Mammalia; Rodentia; Dipodidae
Exons: 3
Source: RefSeq, a predicted model, not a curated record